This 471-nucleotide ribosomal RNA is filed under the name Serratia symbiotica. Its description in RNAcentral is "bacterial SSU rRNA". It matches the Rfam family "Bacterial small subunit ribosomal RNA", at positions 1 to 478 of the family's 1533-position model. Lineage: Bacteria; Pseudomonadati; Pseudomonadota; Gammaproteobacteria; Enterobacterales; Yersiniaceae. The record is from RNAcentral.
UAGAGUUUGAUCCUGGCUCAGAUUGAACGCUGGCGGCAGGCCUAACACAUGCAAGUCGAGCGGUAGCACAAGAGAGCUUGCUCUCUGGGUGACGAGCGGCGGACGGGUGAGUAAUGUCUGGGAAACUGCCUGAUGGCGGGGGAUAACUAGUGGAAACGGUAGCUAAUACCGCAUAACGUCGCAAGACCAAAGUGGGGGACCUUCGGGCCUCACGCCAUCAGAUGUGCCCAGGUGGGAUUAGCUGGUAGGUGGGGUAACGGCUCACCUAGGCGACGAUCCCUAGCUGGUCUGAGAGGAUGACCAGCCACACCGGAACUGAGACACGGUCCAGACUCCUACGGGAGGCAGCAGUGGGGAAUAUUGCACAAUGGGCGCAAGCCUGAUGCAGCCAUGCCGCGUGUGUGAAGAAGGCCUUCGGGUUGUAAAGCACUUUCAGCGAGGAGGAAGGGUAAUGUGUUAAUAAGACAUUGC